GCCUUAGUGGUGUAGUGGUCAGCACACUCGGCGUGUAUCCGAGAGAUCCGUGGUUCGAGUCCCGGCGAGGGCA
Stegodyphus mimosarum is the source of this 73-nucleotide non-coding RNA. NCBI's taxonomy places the organism in Eukaryota, Metazoa, Arthropoda, Arachnida, Araneae, Eresidae. The record is from Rfam.